This 498-nucleotide ribosomal RNA is filed under the name uncultured bacterium. Its description in RNAcentral is "partial 16S ribosomal RNA". It matches the Rfam family "Bacterial small subunit ribosomal RNA", at positions 28 to 507 of the family's 1533-position model. The record is from RNAcentral.
GACGAACGCUGGCGGCGUGCCUAAUACAUGCAAGUCGAGCGGACGGAUGGGAGCUUGCUCCCAGACCGUCAGCGGCGGACGGGUGAGUAACACGUGGGCAACCUGCCUGUAAGACUGGGAUAACUCCGGGAAACCGGGGCUAAUACCGGAUAACUCUUUCCCUCACAUGAGGGAAAGCUGAAAGAUGGCAUCUCGCUAUCACUUACAGAUGGGCCCGCGGCGCAUUAGCUAGUUGGUGAGGUAACGGCUCACCAAGGCGACGAUGCGUAGCCGACCUGAGAGGGUGAUCGGCCACACUGGGACUGAGACACGGCCCAGACUCCUACGGGAGGCAGCAGUAGGGAAUCUUCCGCAAUGGACGAAAGUCUGACGGAGCAACGCCGCGUGAGUGAUGAAGGUUUUCGGAUCGUAAAACUCUGUUGUCAGGGAAGAACAAGUACCGGAGUAACUGCCGGUACCUUGACGGUACCUGAACAGAAAGCCACGGCUAACUACGCG